GAUGAACGCUAGCGGCAGGCCUAAUACAUGCAAGGCUAGGGGGCAGCAAUGUCACCGUCGAACGGGUGCGUAACGCGUAUGCAACCUACCUAUCACUGGGGGAUAGCCCGGGGGAAACCCGGAUUAAUACCGCAUGAUACAUAGAGAAUACCUAUUUUUUAUGUUAAAGAUUUAUCGGUGGUAGAUGGGCAUGCGUCUGA
Molecule: ribosomal RNA, 200 nt
Filed under: uncultured bacterium
Lineage: Bacteria
Description: partial 16S ribosomal RNA
Rfam family: Bacterial small subunit ribosomal RNA
Source: RNAcentral